RNAcentral lists this transfer RNA (72 nucleotides) under Cavia porcellus (domestic guinea pig). It matches the Rfam family "tRNA". Rfam says of the family: Transfer RNA (tRNA) molecules are approximately 80 nucleotides in length. Lineage: Eukaryota; Metazoa; Chordata; Mammalia; Rodentia; Caviidae. The record is from Rfam by way of RNAcentral.
GGGGGUUUAGCUCAGCAGUACAGUGCCCAUCUGGCAAGUGUGAGGUCCUGAGUUCAAUUCCCAGUACCCUCU